AGCGAACGCUGGCGGCAGGCUUAACACAUGCAAGUCGAGCGGGCGUAGCAAUACGUCAGCGGCAGACGGGUGAGUAACGCGUGGGAACGUACCUUUUGGUUCGGAACAACACAGGGAAACUUGUGCUAAUACCGGAUAAGCCCUUACGGGAAAAGAUUUAUCGCCGAAAGAUCGGCCCGCGUCUGAUCAGCUAGUUGGUGAGGUAAUGGCUCACCAAGGCGACGAUCAGUAGCUGGUCUGAGAGGAUGAUCAGCCACAUUGGGACUGAGACACGGCCCAAACUCCUACGGGAGGCAGCAGUGGGGAAUAUUGGACAAUGGGCGCAAGCCUGAUCCAGCCAUGCCGCGUGAGUGAUGAAGGCCCUAGGGUUGUAAAGCUCUUUUGUGCGGGAAGAUAAUGACGGUACCGCAAG
This 412-nucleotide ribosomal RNA is filed under the name uncultured bacterium. RNAcentral describes it as "bacterial SSU rRNA". It matches the Rfam family "Bacterial small subunit ribosomal RNA", at positions 29 to 484 of the family's 1533-position model. The record is from RNAcentral.